Molecule: ribosomal RNA, 473 nt
Filed under: uncultured bacterium
Lineage: Bacteria
Description: bacterial SSU rRNA
Rfam family: Bacterial small subunit ribosomal RNA
Source: RNAcentral
ACUCCUACGGGAGGCAGCAGUGGGGAAUAUUGCACAAUGGGGGAAACCCUGAUGCAGCCAUGCCGCGUGUGUGAAGAAGGCCUUCGGGUUGUAAAGCACUUUCAGUAGGGAGGAAGGUAGUGUAGUUAACACCUGCAUUAUUUGACGUUACCUACAGAAGAAGCACCGGCUAACUCCGUGCCAGCAGCCGCGGUAAUACGGAGGGUGCGAGCGUUAAUCGGAAUUACUGGGCGUAAAGCGCAUGCAGGCGGCCUGUUAAGUCAGAUGUGAAAGCCCGGGGCUUAACCUCGGAAUUGCAUUUGAAACUGGCAGGCUAGAGUCUUGUAGAGGGGGUUAGAAUUUCAGGUGUAGCGGUGAAAUGCGUAGAGAUCUGAAGGAAUACCAGUGGCGAAGGCGGCCCCCUGGACAAAGACUGACGCUCAGAUGCGAAAGCGUGGGAGCAAACAGGAUUAGAUACCCCUGGUAGACUGUCA